GAGAGGAUGAUCAGCCACACUGGGACUGAGACACGGCCCAGACUCCUACGGGAGGCAGCAGUGGGGAAUAUUGCACAAUGGGCGCAAGCCUGAUGCAGCCAUGCCGCGUGUGUGAAGAAGGCCUUCGGGUUGUAAAGCACUUUCAGUAAGGAGGAAAGGUUAAGUGUUAAUAGCACUUAGCUGUGACGUUACUUACAGAAGAAGCACCGGCUAACUCCGUGCCAGCAGCCGCGGUAAUACGGAGGGUGCGAGCGUUAAUCGGAAUUACUGGGCGUAAAGCGUACGCAGGCGGUUUGUUAAGCGAGAUGUGAAAGCCCCGGGCUCAACCUGGGAACUGCAUUUCGAACUGGCAAACUAGAGUGUGAUAGAGGGUGGUAGAAUUUCAGGUGUAGCGGUGAAAUGCGUAGAGAUCUGAAGGAAUACCGAUGGCGAAGGCAGCCCCCUGGGUCAACACUGACGUUCAUGUACGAAAGCGUGGGGAGCAAACAGGAUUAGAUACCCUG
This 503-nucleotide ribosomal RNA is filed under the name Pseudoalteromonas sp. RNAcentral's name for it is "bacterial SSU rRNA". It matches the Rfam family "Bacterial small subunit ribosomal RNA", at positions 294 to 789 of the family's 1533-position model. The record is from RNAcentral. Lineage: Bacteria; Pseudomonadati; Pseudomonadota; Gammaproteobacteria; Alteromonadales; Pseudoalteromonadaceae.